RNAcentral lists this ribosomal RNA (440 nucleotides) under uncultured bacterium. RNAcentral describes it as "bacterial SSU rRNA". It matches the Rfam family "Bacterial small subunit ribosomal RNA", at positions 338 to 795 of the family's 1533-position model. The record is from RNAcentral.
CCUACGGGAGGCUGCAGUGGGGAAUAUUGCACAAUGGGGGAAACCCUGAUGCAGCAACGCCGCGUGAGCGAAGAAGGCCUUAGGGUUGUAAAGCUCUUUUGUCCGGGACGAUAAUGACGGUACCGGAAGAAUAAGCCCCGGCUAACUUCGUGCCAGCAGCCGCGGUAAUACGAAGGGGGCUAGCGUUGCUCGGAAUCACUGGGCGUAAAGGGCGCGUAGGCGGCCAUUUAAGUCGGGGGUGAAAGCCUGUGGCUCAACCACAGAAUUGCCUUCGAUACUGGGUGGCUUGAGUCCGGAAGAGGUUGGUGGAACUGCGAGUGUAGAGGUGAAAUUCGUAGAGAUUCGCAAGAACACCGGUGGCGAAGGCGGCCAACUGGUCCGGAACUGACGCUGAGGCACGAAAGCGUGGGGAGCGAACAGGAUUAGAUACCCUAGUAGUC